GGGGGCGUGGCGCAAUUGGUAGCGCAUCUGCUUUGCAAGCAGAGGGUUGUCGGUUCGAGUCCGGUCGCCUCCACCG
Molecule: transfer RNA, 76 nt
Filed under: Serinicoccus chungangensis
Lineage: Bacteria; Bacillati; Actinomycetota; Actinomycetes; Micrococcales; Ornithinimicrobiaceae
Description: tRNA-Ala
Rfam family: tRNA
About the family: Transfer RNA (tRNA) molecules are approximately 80 nucleotides in length. Their secondary structure includes four short double-helical elements and three loops (D, anti-codon, and T loops). Further hydrogen bonds mediate the characteristic L-shaped molecular structure. tRNAs have two regions of fundamental functional importance: the anti-codon, which is responsible for specific mRNA codon recognition, and the 3' end, to which the tRNAs corresponding amino acid is attached (by aminoacyl-tRNA synthetases). tRNAs cope with the degeneracy of the genetic code in two manners: having more than one tRNA (with a specific anti-codon) for a particular amino acid; and 'wobble' base-pairing, i.e. permitting non-standard base-pairing at the 3rd anti-codon position.
Source: RNAcentral